GCGGCGCGGGAAGGGGAGCCCCGGCUCCCGAGCCCCGGGCGCGCGUCCUUGGGGACGUCACAGCGCUGGAAUCCGAGGAAUGCCGAGCUGCCGGAGCUCCUUCUGCAGGCCCGGGAGAAGUCGCGCACUUUUAUAAACGUGGUGGCUUUGGGAGAAGGUUUUCAAAGGGAAGCCUGCUGCGCUGAAGUCCAUGGGAUUGCAAAGAGCUGGACAUGACUGGGUGACGGAACAACAGCAUUUUUGUCAUCGGCUCCCAAGAUUCCCAUGAAUUAAAGUCCUCACUGUUUAGCUACAUGAAGUCCAAGAAGUGGCAGUUUGGGUCCAUGGUCCUCCCUAGCACACAGAAGAUCGCCUUCGACUGGCGUGAAGUCACCGUUUCUGGUAGUGCAGAGUCAUUUCUGUUCGUGACCUCAAUCUCAAAAGCUGCCCUAAAACCUCCCUGAAAAUAUAUCCAGUCUGAGGAAGCCGGAUUCCAAUUUUAUGGGCACUGACUCUUCUCCAUCUCGUGUCCUGAAUGUGACAUUUAAAUAAAGCCCCAAUAAAAGGUAAUUCAUUAGUUUGUUUUUUCCCCCUCACCUCUUUGGUUCUGAGCUUAUUUUCAAAUGUAAUUUAAACGCCUAAAUGAAAUUGUCAAUAAAUAAUAAUGCAAACUGUACUACUGCCCUUAUGGAAGUCAAAAAAAAGCUAGAUAGACUUCCAGAUGGAUUGCAGAUUCAGAGAGGACUGGAAAAUAGAACAAGAAAGGGUGCAUUUGUUUCUAACAUUGGCCGCUAUUGCCAGAACACCCCUCUGAAGGUAUGGGCCAUGAAAAGGAUCUUCUGCUGUGAUUAGCAACAAGGAACAACCUUUGCUGGGGGAGGGAAGAAUCAGGUCGUGUUUGGGAUGCCUUUCUAAAGAACAUGGACUCUCCAGCCUGCAGGGGUGAGAUAGGGUUACCCCCAAGUAUGGGCAGGGCUAUGUCAGUGAAUCCAAUAGCACUAAAUCAAAACCUCCUCUUAAGACCCGGCUGCUUUCUGGCUGCCUCCCCUAGAAUAAGGGGUGACUCAGAGGGUGGCUGACUCCCUGACUUCAAACAUUUCUGAGUAAUUCCCACAGACCCAGACAAGGGCAAUUAGAGGACUGGUUUGGAAUGACCACUGAGGAUUGCAAGAGACUUAUGGUGGCCAGCAGGGCAAAGGCAAAUGGUCUAGGAAGCUCAAUUUUGAGGUGUCUUCUGCUACAAUUAGGAGACAGAGGUACCUUCUGACAUCCUAAAUCUUAAGAUGCUAGAAGGAGUUUACUCACGUAGGAGGGCACGUCCUGAGCUUCCCGCCCGAUGGGCACCUCUGAGGUCCUGGGAUACACAAAAGACAGAGCUUUUAUAUGCUGAAAGAAAAACUAGCUACCUUUCCAAUCUAAUUUCCAACUAUACUUCCCUGGCUUUCUCUGCCCCCUGGAUGCCGGCAUUCUGCUAUUCCUUGAACAUACACUCCGAAUCCUCUCCCACCCCAGGAUCUUUGCAUGUACUGUUUCCUCUGCCAAGAACUCCACUCCUCUAGGUGUUUUUUCACUUCAGUCCUUGGACAGAACUUUCCCAACCAUCCUGUCAAAAUAGAACCUCUUCACACUCCAUCCUCUGUUCCUUUGUGUGCAUGCUCAGUCAUGUCUGACUCUUUGCGACCUCGUGGACUAUAUAGCCCACCAGGCUCCUCUGUCCAUGGAAUUGUCCAGGCAAGAAUAUUGGAGUGAGUUGCCAUUUCCUCCUCCAGGGGACCUUGCUGACCCAGGAUUGAA
Dama dama (fallow deer) is the source of this 1773-nucleotide long non-coding RNA. RefSeq lists it as uncharacterized. The transcript is spliced from 3 exons. The record is from RefSeq and is a predicted model, not a curated record. NCBI's taxonomy places the organism in Eukaryota, Metazoa, Chordata, Mammalia, Artiodactyla, Cervidae.